Molecule: long non-coding RNA, 519 nt
Filed under: Triticum aestivum (bread wheat)
Lineage: Eukaryota; Viridiplantae; Streptophyta; Magnoliopsida; Poales; Poaceae
Description: long non-coding RNA (TAES_LNC000997)
Source: RNAcentral
GAGUUAUUGCCAAAGGCAGCCAUCUGUACCAGAAGCCAUGUCCAGUCUGAAAUGCCAUAUGAAUUACUGCUGAGUAAAAAUUCGGUAUUGAGCUGAGAAAAUUGCAUUCAUCAUAUGACUUGUGUGUGCUGCAGAUUACCACUCUACAACUCGAAGUGAUUGGCUGGAAAUUAUCCGAAGCAAAGUGAUGGUUGGUCGCAACAAGGUCCUGAAUCGAACCGCGCGCUGCAUCGAAUAAACAGUUUGAGUGCGCUGGAUGAUGUGUGUAAUCUAAAAGAAGACUGGCUUCUGUUAUAUAUAGUAUAGUGUGGCAUAAUAAGAGAACAGGUUCUUUUGAUAUUACCUGCGAGUGCUGCUUUUCCCCGUCCUUGUCCUGUGCUGUAAAGCUUUAGUAGACCCCUGAGUAUCCAGCAGAACUCUGAGUUGCUUCAAUCACUCCUUGCAAGUAAAUCAGCCACUGGCACAGUGGCAUAUUGAUUUCAACAUAAGAAGGGGGGGAAAAUGUAUGUUAUGAUGUUC